GAUGAACGCUAGCGGCAGGCUUAACACAUGCAAGUCGAGGGGCAGCAUAAACAUUGCUUGCAAUGUUUGAUGGCGACCGGCGCACGGGUGCGUAACGCGUAUGUAACCUACCUCAAACAGGGGCAUAACACUGAGAAAUUGGUACUAAUUCCCCAUAAUACUUCGGGAGGCAUCUUCUGAAGUUGAAAGUUCCGGCGGUUUGAGAUGGACAUGCGUUGUAUUAGCUAGUUGGUGAGGUAACGGCUCACCAAGGCGACGAUACAUAGGGGGACUGAGAGGUUGAACGGCCACAUUGGAACUGAGAUACGGCCCAGACUCCUACGGGAGCAGCAGUGGGGAAUAUUGGACAAGUGGGCGAAAGCCUGAUCCAGCGACGCCGCGUGAAGGAAGACGGUCUUC
RNAcentral lists this ribosomal RNA (399 nucleotides) under uncultured bacterium. RNAcentral describes it as "bacterial SSU rRNA". It matches the Rfam family "Bacterial small subunit ribosomal RNA", at positions 28 to 419 of the family's 1533-position model. The record is from RNAcentral.